Molecule: long non-coding RNA, 1097 nt
Filed under: Homo sapiens (human)
Lineage: Eukaryota; Metazoa; Chordata; Mammalia; Primates; Hominidae
Description: small nucleolar RNA host gene 17, transcript variant 10 (SNHG17)
Source: RNAcentral
AGUCCUUCGCCGUCCCUCGCCGUCCUUCGCCAUCGCACGCCACCGCACCCCAUCUCUCGAAAUCUGCAGACAUCUUGAUUUUUCCCACGCUGUCUGUCAGGUCUCCGCCGCCACUCGACGCCAGGGCGCCGGGCCUUGUGGGCUGUGCUGCACCUCGGACGGCUUCGCACCAGCCAGCGCCCUCUCUCUCCUGCAGCACUCUGAUCUGCACCCCCUGAGGGGCUUCCACUGUCCGCGGGGUGAGAAUGCCCCUGGGAGUGUCACAUGACUGCCGCCCCAUGUGUGUGAGAGGCGUCCUCUGGGAGAGCAUGGAUCCUGAGGUCCCAGGAACAUCCCGAGAGCCAAGUUCCCAGAUGCCAGCCAAGGGCCAUCUGACCUGUUUUGAAUCUCAAUUUCCUGAUACAGAAAACAAAGGAUUGUCAGCUGACCUCUGUCCUGUGUGCCCAGUGGCCCCAGGUGACGUGUCUUCAAGAAGAGGCUGAGCUGCGGUGCUUGUAAGGGUCUCAUUCUGUCACCCAGGCUGGAGUGCAGUGGUGCAAUGAUGGCUCACUGCAGCCUCGACCUGGGCUCAAGUGAUCCUCCACCUCAGCUUCCUGAGUAGCUGGGACCACAGAUGGGUCUGCUGUGUGCAGAGGCUCCAUGGGAUGUGUUGUCUUCAUAGUAGCAGGGCGCUGGACCAUGGGUCCGCAAGGUCUCAGCCUUAGAUCCAAGGACAGUCCAAGGAAGUCCUAAGACCAUGGAGUUGGUGAUCUGGGAUCUGGGUUUGCUGAUAUUUCUCACCGUGAAUCUCUUGGUGGUGUUUGUGGGCACGAGAGGGGCAGAGAAUGGAGAGUGAGGCUACCACAUGAAGCGUCACCAGAGCUGCUCCCUGCUGCCUGCUCAGAGCACCCCGGAUCCACUGUUCAAUCUGCACAAGAUUCGGGGUCCAGACAUGGGAGACUUCAGCUGCCUCAGAGGACCGUGGACAGGGAAGGCCAGCCUCGCAUCCCUCUGUCCAUGCCUGGAAUGACUUUAAUAACCAAGAGUUUUAUUUUUGAAUUUGUAGCUGUCGUUCACUUUUUACCCACCCAUUCAAUAAACCUUACAGAAUUGCUCCA